This 70-nucleotide transfer RNA is filed under the name Nilssonia nigricans. Its description in RNAcentral is "tRNA-Val". The record is from RNAcentral. Lineage: Eukaryota; Metazoa; Chordata; Testudines; Trionychidae.
CAAAAUAUAGCUUAACCAAAAGCAUUCAGCUUACACCUGAAAUAUACCUAAUAAACCAGGGUUAUUUUGA